This 548-nucleotide ribosomal RNA is filed under the name Trapezia tigrina. RNAcentral describes it as "partial large subunit ribosomal RNA". It matches the Rfam family "Bacterial large subunit ribosomal RNA", at positions 1827 to 2625 of the family's 2925-position model. The record is from RNAcentral. Lineage: Eukaryota; Metazoa; Arthropoda; Malacostraca; Decapoda; Trapeziidae.
GUCUAUUAUGAAGUUAUUAAUAGUCUGGCCUGCUCCCUGACUAUGAGUUAAAGAGCCGCGGUAAUUUGACCGUGCAAAGGUAGCAUAAUCAUUAGUUUCUUAAUUGGGAACUUGUAUGAAAGGUUUGACAAAGAAAAAGCUGUCUUUAUUAUAAAAAUUGAACUUAACUUUUAAGUGAAAAGGCUUAAAUAAUUUAGAGGGACGAUAAGACCCUAUAAAGCUUUAUAUAAAAAGUAAUUAAAACUGAGUUUAUAAUAAGAGUUUGAAUUAGUUAUAUAUUUUGUUGGGGUGAUAUUAAUAAAAUUGAUAUUAACUGUUAAAAACUAAUACGUAAAUAAAAGAGUUAAAUUUCUUAGUGAUCCUUAAUUAAAGAUUAAAAGAUUAAGUUACUUUAGGGAUAACAGCGUAAUUUUUCUUGAGAGCCCAUAUCGAAAGAAAAGAUUUCGACCUCGAUGUUGAAUUAAGAUAUCUGUGUAGAGUAGUCGUUACAUAAGAAGGUCUGUUCGACCUUUAAACUUUUACAUGAUUUGAGUUCAGACCGGCGUGAG